Molecule: ribosomal RNA, 233 nt
Filed under: uncultured bacterium
Lineage: Bacteria
Description: partial 16S ribosomal RNA
Rfam family: Bacterial small subunit ribosomal RNA
Source: RNAcentral
UCCACGCCCUAAACGAUGUACACUAGUUGUUGCCAUGCUAGUCAUGGCAGUAAUGCAGCUAACGCAUUAAGUGUACCGCCUGGGGAGUACGGUCGCAAGAUUAAAACUCAAAGGAAUAGACGGGGACCCGCACAAGCGGUGGAGCAUGUGGUUUAAUUCGAAAAUACGCGAAGAACCUUACCUAGGCUUGAUAUCCUUGGAAUCUCUUGGAAACAAGAGAGUGCUAGUUUACA